CUACGGAGGGUGCGAGCGUUAAUCGGAAUUACUGGGCGUAAAGGGUGCGUAGGCGGUUUGAUAAGUCGGAUGUGAAAGCCCCGGGCUUAACCUGGGAAUGGCAUUCGAUACUGUCAGGCUCGAGUAUGUCAGAGGUUGGCGGAAUUCCUGGUGUAGCGGUGAAAUGCGUAGAUAUCAGGAGGAACACCAGUGGCGAAGGCGGCUAACUGGGGCAAUACUGACGCUGAGGCACGAAAGCGUGGGGAGCAAACAGGAUUAGAAACCCCAGUAGUCC
RNAcentral lists this ribosomal RNA (274 nucleotides) under uncultured bacterium. Its description in RNAcentral is "partial 16S ribosomal RNA". It matches the Rfam family "Bacterial small subunit ribosomal RNA", at positions 523 to 796 of the family's 1533-position model. The record is from RNAcentral.